Molecule: long non-coding RNA, 1455 nt
Organism: Capsicum annuum
Lineage: Eukaryota; Viridiplantae; Streptophyta; Magnoliopsida; Solanales; Solanaceae
Exons: 2
Source: RefSeq, a predicted model, not a curated record
CCCCCUCGCCCACGAUUUUUUUUUCCGUUGGCUUGCUCCAAAAGCACACACUCACAGAUAGCAACAAAAAUAAAAAUAUUCCCUCACACCUCACUUUUUGUCCAUUCAACGGAAAGGGCACAAUAUACACACAUAACAUAUACAAGUGGGACCCACCACAGAAUUGUAUACACGCACAUACAAAAGCUUCACUGGGAGGGAUUUUUGUGGAUGACCAUAUACUCAUACCUUCUUCCACUUUUUUAGGAGGACUGGACCAUUUUCAUCUAUAUCAUCCAUACACAAUAUACAGAAAACAAAUAAUGGAGCCCAUGGAAGAAUUUUGAAAAAACAAUUAUCCAUUUUCCUCUUCUUCACACGGACAACUCACAUUUCAUUCACAAUUAGAAUACCUCACUCACAUAAUACACUCUCAAUUCCAAUCAUCCUCACGAUGGGUUGAAUUCUCAUACGCACAAAGGGACUCCAUUUUUUUUUCUGUUCAUUUCUUCUUUUCAUGUCUUCUCCACAAGCCCACAUCUUCUUCUUCAUUAACAUACAGUGAAAGAGAAUACACUAAGACUCCAUCUUCUUCACUAAUCCUGAUAGCAACAUGAGGGAACUACGAUCUUCGUCUUCUUUUCUUUUUAGGGAAGGGUUCCGAUCAAAGGAGAAAACAACACACGCACUAGAGAGAAAUGGAGAGAUGGUGAGGAAACGGUGAAAAUUCGAGAGAGAGAGGUCGGGUUGAGUUUUCAGGUGGGCAAGUCCGCGCUGGAAUUGGUCUUUUAGUUCAUUAGCUGAUCGAAACUCCACGGGAAAGAUUAAGAUUUUCGGAGCCUGAUUCGUUUCGUCGCUUCUUACCCGACUAAGCUCAUCAGAGUCCCCUUUACCCGGUCUUCUUUAGUCUUUGUUUCAUAUUAUUGGUUUGUUUUGGUCGAAGUCAGUUUGGUUUGCGGAAUCUCAAAGCCGAUUUGGCCUUUUACGGUUUCGUCGUUGAGGUUUGAGUUGGGGUUCCUUGUUUGAAGAUUUCGACCUCGGAUCUCUUUAUUAUCAACAAAAGUCGAUUAUCGGAAGAAACAAAGGGACGGUGAGCACUCUGCAUACAGGAGAACCAUGGACAUUGAGCAUAUUCAAGAACCUUAGAAGCAAAAAUGUCCUAAUCUGUCUCUUGACUUUCCAUUUUGAUGUUUAUUGCUUUUUUUUUUUUGGCUAAUUUCUUUUUGGGCCGGGUCACUUUUUGACCUGGCCCAUUGAUGUACAUAACUGGAUGUUUGCUUUUAUAAAAAGUAUUUCAUGCCCGAGUUUCACUUAAAAAUAAGUCUUCAAUCACAUUCUCUAUUACUUCAUCAUCAACAACAUUGUUGUAAAAUCUUUGAGAGUUGAAAAUGUAGUGAUUACUUUCAACUCUAAAAGAUAGAGUUUUGAGGCUUCCACAAGGUAUAAAUGGACAUGUGGCUUCAUUUUUUAAAUAAA